GGGUGCGCGCUGCGUGCUGCUCUCCCACAGCUCAGCAUGUGACCGUCGGUCCUGACCUCUCUCGGCCUCAGUGCCUCAUCGGCUAAACCAGAUGCUGGCCUGGGCACCUCUCACCCUGACCACGGCUGUGGGCAGUGAUGGCGGUGGCUGUGGCUUGGGGGGUCCACCCAGGGGCCACAGCCAGGGAGAGGCUUCACAUGGACCAUUUCAGACCGAUUUUAACAAAGGCCUCCCAGGGAGCCUCGCCCCGUCUGGGGUCUGGUGAUCCUGAAGGUCUGGCCCUGGCUGGGGGGGGGGGGGGGGCUGCCUCCCCCUCCCACCUGCCUUCUCUCCCUUUCUCCCUCCUCCCUUCUUGCUUUCUCGCUGAUCACCUUUCCAUUUCUCGAAGCCAGCUCCUUCCCGUGGACGGAGGGCCUGGGUAGGAAGGCAGCCCUUUCUCCCUGGCCUGAGCUGGGGUUGGGGCUGGUGAGGGAAGCCCGGGGCGCCCCCCAGCUCCUCACUUACAACCUGCGCCAGAGCCUUGCCAGGGGCCUGGGAGUCCUCAAGUGCCCUCUGUGCGCUGGGCCUGGGCUGGACCACGGCCUGGGGACAGGAGGCCUGGGGUCUGGGGAGUGUCACCUCCGGAGGCUGAUCAGCACCUUGCCCCACCCCCAGCCACGGGCACGGCGGGCUCAGCCAGAGCUGCCCUCUCCACGGGGUGACAGCCAGCUGUGGCCAGGGGCAGCCAGACCCACCGGGACGUGGCAAGUGUGGCAUCGGCCAUAGUCCCAGGCCCUGUCACCGCGGUGUCACCGGGCUGCAGUGAUGCAGAGCCAGCAGGGGUCCCAUCCGAGGACGUACGUGGUGGCCCAAC
Molecule: long non-coding RNA, 853 nt
Organism: Hyaena hyaena (striped hyena)
Lineage: Eukaryota; Metazoa; Chordata; Mammalia; Carnivora; Hyaenidae
Exons: 3
Source: RefSeq, a predicted model, not a curated record